RNAcentral lists this ribosomal RNA (472 nucleotides) under Fusarium thapsinum. RNAcentral describes it as "eukaryotic LSU rRNA". The stretch from base 163 to 316 matches the Rfam family "5.8S ribosomal RNA". Lineage: Eukaryota; Fungi; Ascomycota; Sordariomycetes; Hypocreales; Nectriaceae. The record is from RNAcentral.
CGGAGGGAUCAUUACCGAGUUUACAACUCCCAAACCCCUGUGAACAUACCAAUUGUUGCCUCGGCGGAUCAGCCCGCUCCCGGUAAAACGGGACGGCCCGCCAGAGGACCCCUAAACUCUGUUUCUAUAUGUAACUUCUGAGUAAAACCAUAAAUAAAUCAAAACUUUCAACAACGGAUCUCUUGGUUCUGGCAUCGAUGAAGAACGCAGCAAAAUGCGAUAAGUAAUGUGAAUUGCAGAAUUCAGUGAAUCAUCGAAUCUUUGAACGCACAUUGCGCCCGCCAGUAUUCUGGCGGGCAUGCCUGUUCGAGCGUCAUUUCAACCCUCAAGCCCCCGGGUUUGGUGUUGGGGAUCGGCGAGCCUCACGGCAAGCCGGCCCCGAAAUACAGUGGCGGUCUCGCUGCAGCUUCCAUUGCGUAGUAGUAAAACCCUCGCAACUGGUACGCGGCGCGGCCAAGCCUUAAACCCCCAA